AGUGAACGCUGGCGGUAGGCCUAACACAUGCAAGUCGAACGGCAGCACAGUAAGAGCUUGCUCUUACGGGUGGCGAGUGGCGGACGGGUGAGGAAUACAUCGGAAUCUACUUUUUCGUGGGGGAUAACGUAGGGAAACUUACGCUAAUACCGCAUACGACCUACGGGUGAAAGCAGGGGAUCUUCGGACCUUGCGCGAUUGAAUGAGCCGAUGUCGGAUUAGCUAGUUGGCGGGGUAAAGGCCCACCAAGGCGACGAUCCGUAGCUGGUCGGAGAGGAUGAUCAGCCACACUGGAACUGAGACACGGUCCAGACUCCUACGGGAGGCAGCAGUGGCGAAUAUUGGACAAUGGGCGCAAGCCUGAUCCAGCCAUACCGCGUGGGUGAAGAAGGCCUUCGGGUUGUAAAGCCCUUUUGUUGGGAAAGAAAAGCAGCAGGUUAAUACCCCGCUGUUCUGACGGUACCCAAAGAAUAAGCACCGGCUAACUUCGUG
RNAcentral lists this ribosomal RNA (492 nucleotides) under uncultured bacterium. RNAcentral describes it as "partial 16S ribosomal RNA". It matches the Rfam family "Bacterial small subunit ribosomal RNA", at positions 29 to 507 of the family's 1533-position model. The record is from RNAcentral.